Molecule: long non-coding RNA, 526 nt
Filed under: Mytilus galloprovincialis (Mediterranean mussel)
Lineage: Eukaryota; Metazoa; Mollusca; Bivalvia; Mytilida; Mytilidae
Source: RNAcentral
CCUAGCUAAACAAUGUAUUUAUAAGUAUUGAAUGCUUCUUUUUGUAACUUCAUAGGGUUGUAAAAGCGUUGACCGUGCGCAAUUUUUUUAGAAUGAAGCGCUUCCGCGCUUCAUACAAAAUGUACUUCGGUCAACGCUUUUACACCCCAAUGAAGUUACAAAGAGAAGCAUUCAAUAAAUAAAUAUAAACAAGGACAUCCUGUGUUAAGCAAACAUGUGUAUCACGGCACAAGAGAUCACCUAUAGACCGUGUAUAUCAUAUGUAUAUUUAGGGUGGGUUGCUCCGAAUAAAGGAGAUAUAGAUACAGGAAAAUAAAGAAAAAAAAAUAAAAAUUUAGAAUAGUGUAUAACGGGCAAAAUAAAGAUCAGAGGAAAAUGGUAUAAGAAAAUUAAAGAAUAGAGGGAGUGGUCUAGUUUUUGCCGGACAAAUGUUGAUGAUUAUUUAAAGUCAAGUGCAUUUAUAGGAUAAAUAAUACACAAUCGUUUGUACAUUGGUAGGGAUUUAUGUUUAGAGUUGAUGAGGCAC